GAUGAACGCUGGCGGCGUGCCUAAUACAUGCAAGUCGAGCGAACAGAUGAGGAGCUUGCUCCUCUGACGUUAGCGGCGGACGGGUGAGUAACACGUGGAUAACCUACCUAUAAGACUGGGAUAACUUCGGGAAACCGGAGCUAAUACCGGAUAAUAUAUUGAACCGCAUGGUUCAAUAGUGAAAGACGGUUUUGCUGUCACUUAUAGAUGGAUCCGCGCCGCAUUAGCUAGUUGGAAGGUAACGGCUUACCAAGGCAACGAUGCGUAGCCGACCUGAGAGGGUGAUCGGCCACACUGGAACUGAGACACGGUCCAGACUCCUACGGGAGGCAGCAGUAGGGAAUCUUCCGCAAUGGGCGAAAGCUUGACGGAGCAACGCCGCGUGAGUGAUGAAGGUCUUCGGAUCGUAAAACUCUGUUAUUAGGGAAGAACAAAUGUGUAAGUAACUAUGCACGUCUUGACGGUACCUAAUCAGAAAGCCACGGCUAACUACGUG
Molecule: ribosomal RNA, 496 nt
Filed under: uncultured bacterium
Lineage: Bacteria
Description: partial 16S ribosomal RNA
Rfam family: Bacterial small subunit ribosomal RNA
Source: RNAcentral